RNAcentral lists this ribosomal RNA (752 nucleotides) under uncultured Glomus. Its description in RNAcentral is "SSU rRNA". It matches the Rfam family "Eukaryotic small subunit ribosomal RNA", at positions 338 to 1092 of the family's 1831-position model. Lineage: Eukaryota; Fungi; Glomeromycota; Glomeromycetes; Glomerales; Glomeraceae. The record is from RNAcentral.
GGCCUACCAUGGUGGUAACGGGUGACGGGGUGUUAGGGCACGACACCGGAGAGGGAGCCUGAGAAACGGCUACCACAUCCAAGGAUGGCAGCAGGCGCGCAAAUUACCCAAUCCCGACACGGGGAGGUAGUGACAAUAAAUAACAAUACGGGGUCCUUACGGAUCUCGUAAUUGGAAUGAGUACAAUUUAAAUCUCUUAACGAGGAACAAUUGGAGGGCAAGUCUGGUGCCAGCAGCCGCGGUAAUUCCAGCUCCAAUAGCGUAUAUUAAAGUUGUUGCAGUUAAAAAGCUCGUAGUUGAAUUUCGGGAUCAAUAUGUCGGUCGUGCCUCGGUACGUACUGGCAUCAUUGGUUUUUCCCUUCUGAAGAACCAUGAUGCCAUUAAUUUGGUGUCGUGGGGAAUCAGGACUGUUACUUUGAAAAAAUUAGAGUGUUUAAAGCAGGCUCACGCUUGAAUACAUUAGCAUGGAAUAAUGAAAUAGGACGUUUGAUUCUAUUUUGUUGGUUUCUAGGAUCGACGUAAUGAUUAAUAGGGAUAGUUGGGGGCAUUAGUAUUCAAUUGUCAGAGGUGAAAUUCUUGGAUUUAUUGAAGACUAACUACUGCGAAAGCAUUUGCCAAGGAUGUUUUCAUUAAUCAAGAACGAAAGUUAGGGGAUCGAAGACGAUCAGAUACCGUCGUAGUCUUAACCAUAAACUAUGCCGACUAGGGAUCGGAUGAUGUUAAUUUUUUAAUGACUCAUUCGGCGCCUUACG